This 1141-nucleotide ribosomal RNA is filed under the name uncultured bacterium. RNAcentral describes it as "bacterial SSU rRNA". It matches the Rfam family "Bacterial small subunit ribosomal RNA", at positions 8 to 1141 of the family's 1533-position model. The record is from RNAcentral.
AGAGUUUGAUCAUGGCUCAGAUUGAACGCUGGCGGCAGGCCUAACACAUGCAAGUCGAGCGGUAACAUUUCUAGCUUGCUAGAAGAUGACGAGCGGCGGACGGGUGAGUAACGCGUGGGAAUCUGCCUGGUAGUGGGGGACAACAGUCGGAAACGACUGCUAAUACCGCAUACGCCCUUCGGGGGAAAGUGGGGGAUCUUCGGACCUCACGCUAUCAGAUGAGCCCGCGUCGGAUUAGCUUGUUGGUGAGGUAAAGGCUCACCAAGGCGAUGAUCCGUAGCUGGUCUGAGAGGAUGAUCAGCCACACUGGGACUGAGACACGGCCCAGACUCCUACGGGAGGCAGCAGUGGGGAAUAUUGGACAAUGGGGGCAACCCUGAUCCAGCCAUGCCGCGUGUGUGAAGAAGGCCUUCGGGUUGUAAAGCACUUUCAGCAGUGAGGAAAGGUGUGUCGUUAAUACCGGCAUGCUGUGACGUUAACUGCAGAAGAAGGACCGGCUAACUCCGUGCCAGCAGCCGCGGUAAUACGGAGGGUCCGAGCGUUAAUCGGAAUUACUGGGCGUAAAGCGCGCGUAGGUGGUUCAGUCAGUCAGAUGUGAAAGCCCCGGGCUCAACCUGGGAAUUGCACCUGAUACUGCUGAGCUAGAGUACGGUAGAGGGUAGUGGAAUUUCCGGUGUAGCGGUGAAAUGCGUAGAGAUCGGAAGGAACACCAGUGGCGAARGCGACUACCUGGACCGAUACUGACACUGAGGUGCGAAAGCGUGGGUAGCAAACAGGAUUAGAUACCCUGGUAGUCCACGCCGUAAACGAUGUCAACUAGCCGUUGGGGGACUUGAUCCUUUAGUGGCGCAGCUAACGCGAUAAGUUGACCGCCUGGGGAGUACGGCCGCAAGGUUAAAACUCAAAUGAAUUGACGGGGGCCCGCACAAGCGGUGGAGCAUGUGGUUUAAUUCGAAGCAACGCGAAGAACCUUACCUACUCUUGACAUCCAGAGAACUUUCCAGAGAUGGAUUGGUGCCUUCGGGAACUCUGAGACAGGUGCUGCAUGGCUGUCGUCAGCUCGUGUUGUGAAAUGUUGGGUUAAGUCCCGUAACGAGCGCAACCCCUAUCCUUAUUUGCCAGCACUUCGGGUGGGAACUCU